Molecule: long non-coding RNA, 335 nt
Filed under: Nicotiana benthamiana
Lineage: Eukaryota; Viridiplantae; Streptophyta; Magnoliopsida; Solanales; Solanaceae
Description: long non-coding RNA (NBEN_LNC035522)
Source: RNAcentral
UUUUACAGACAUUCAGCGUUAGAGGAGAGAGCAUUCCGCAAUUGGUGAAAGCACCCGCAAACAGGGAGAUCAAUCAUCAAAUGCAAAGUUCUUCUACAAAGUAAUGGUCAAUAGAGUUCUUUCCAGAGAUUAACCCGAAUCAAUAAAGUACUGCUCGACGUUCUUGGCGAUUAAAUACAUCAAGGAGAUCUACAUUAUCCUACAUUCGAGAAAGACGCUUCCAAAGCCCUCGAAUUACGAAGAAUUUCAUAGAGGAGAAUCAAGGGAUACAAAGAAUUGUAUUCACAAAUAUUCAUCAAUAAAAUCUUUUUUUCUUCAUAUUAUUUUUGUUGCGG